UGAGCAAUCUGCCCCUCUCAUCGGAAUAAGCGUUGGAAACGACGUCUAAUGCCGAAUACGACCUCCUUUCACAUGAUCGGAGGUGGAAAGCUCCGGCGGAGAAGGAUGAGCUCGCGGCCUAUCAGCUAGUUGGUGUGGGUAACGGCCCACCAAGGCGACGACGGGUAGCCGGCCUGAGAGGGUGGCCGGCCACACUGGGACUGAGACACGGCCCAGACCUCCGUACGGGAGGNAG
This 235-nucleotide ribosomal RNA is filed under the name uncultured bacterium. Its description in RNAcentral is "partial 16S ribosomal RNA". It matches the Rfam family "Bacterial small subunit ribosomal RNA", at positions 118 to 351 of the family's 1533-position model. The record is from RNAcentral.